Hordeum vulgare subsp. vulgare (domesticated barley) is the source of this 327-nucleotide long non-coding RNA. RefSeq lists it as uncharacterized. The transcript is spliced from 3 exons. The record is from RefSeq and is a predicted model, not a curated record. Lineage: Eukaryota; Viridiplantae; Streptophyta; Magnoliopsida; Poales; Poaceae.
AUAGAUGCAGGAAUUUGUUCUCAGGACAUCGGGCAAAAUGGUGGAAUUGUUGUGGGAUUUUGGAAGUCUUUGGUGGUUCAGAGAGAUAGAUGCAGGAGUAUAAAAGUGGAACACCGUCAGGCCAGAAGACAGGUGACAGGAAGGGGGCUGUCCAUGCACACCCACCCAAGAAGGCAGGCAAGACCCCAGCAACCAGCGAGAAGUGGCCCAAGUCUGGAGGGUCGGUCACCUGCAAACAAAGUUACUACAUGGAGACGAGCAUUUUGUUCAGUUAACUGUUUUCCAGAGUUAGUGCGAGCGGAGACGAAGCUAGUAGAAUCAUAUGGG